Molecule: long non-coding RNA, 900 nt
Organism: Aquila chrysaetos chrysaetos
Lineage: Eukaryota; Metazoa; Chordata; Aves; Accipitriformes; Accipitridae
Exons: 2
Source: RefSeq, a predicted model, not a curated record
CUUAUUUCAUUGCCGUGCACGGAGGCGGGAGGGGGGGUGCGGGGGGGGGGACCCCCGCUCCCUUCCCCAUCACGGGCACCUACCUUCAUCUCCUCGUUGAUCUCCCGCUUCACCGGAGCGGCAGGACCUCGCGGAGACCCUCGAGAAGGCUCUGCCGGCAGCGAGGAGCUGCAGGAGUCAGCCGCAGAGAGGGUCAUGCCGUGGGCUCGGUCCAUUCUGCGCACCCCAGGAACACAAGGUCUGGCCUCAGACUCACCAGCAGCAAGCAUGAGAAGAAGCUGAGAUCUAUUUGUUUCUCGUCUGUAAUAUUUUAAAAUACAGUGAGAUCUGAAACUUGGGGAAACUGACUUGCGACUCCACAGGUAACCUCCAAAGGAUGGUGCUUAAUAAGGGAGUUUCCCUCCUUCUGCGCCCCAUCACCACCGGCGACCUCAUCUCUAUGAUUUGUUCACCGUAUUCUAUCACAAACAAAUCGGUACGGUUGAGCUCUCAUCAAGUAUGGGAGAUAUUCCCAGAAUCUCAAGGUAUUCUCUCACACAGUAGGGAUAAGACAGGCAAUGCAAGGGGAAGGCUACACAAUCUCAUGUAGCCUCGGAGCUCUUUGAAACCUUUAGCUGGAAAAAGCAAGCCAACCUCAGACAACUAUUCUGCUUUGAAUCACCACUACCCUGCUGGUACAUGAAGCCAUUCUGAUGAAAAAGGCAAAAUUCAUUCUUGUAUUAGGCACGUAUCACUAGUUUCUCUGUAGAGCUGAUAGCAGAGUUUUAAUGAAAACCCUAGAACUUCUGCUAAACAGAGUAUUGCCUCAAAUGGUUCUUGUUCCGUGAAACAUAAGAAGGCUACUUCUCAACACUUACUAUAGAUAUUGUAAUAAAGCACUGUUUCGCUGCAUAAAUUUAA